AGGAAGGAGAAGUCGUAACAAGGUUUCCGUAGGUGAACCUGCGGAAGGAUCAUUGUCGAAACCUGCACAGCAGAACGACCCGCGAACACGUUCGAACACCGGGGGAGCCGCGCGCCGCGGGGCCGCUCCGGCGCCGCCCCGCGCGUCUGCCCCUCGCCCCCUCUUCGGGGGGGGCCAAACGAACCCCGGCGCGGAAAGCGCCAAGGAAUACUCAAACGAGAGCCCUCCGCCCGUGCCCCGUCCGCGGGGCGUGCGGGCGGAUGCGUGCUUCUUUCGAAACCAAAAACGACUCUCGGCAACGGAUAUCUCGGCUCUCGCAUCGAUGAAGAACGUAGCGAAAUGCGAUACUUGGUGUGAAUUGCAGAAUCCCGUGAACCAUCGAGUCUUUGAACGCAAGUUGCGCCCGAAGCCGUCAGGCCGAGGGCACGUCUGCCUGGGCGUCACGCAUCGCGUCGCCCCCCGCACGCCGCUCGGCGUCGCGGGGGCGGAUACUGGCCUCCCGUGCGCCUCGCGCCCGCGGCCGGCCUAAAUGCGAGUCCACGUCGACGGACGUCGCGGCAAGUGGUGGUUGUAACUCAACUCUCUUGGUGCCGCGGCCACAGCCCGUCGCGCGUGCGCGCUCCACGGCCCCUCCGGCGCUAGCGCGCUCCGACCGCGACCCCAGGUCAGGCGGGAUUACCCGC
RNAcentral lists this ribosomal RNA (683 nucleotides) under Solanum melongena (eggplant). Its description in RNAcentral is "eukaryotic LSU rRNA". The stretch from base 288 to 443 matches the Rfam family "5.8S ribosomal RNA". Lineage: Eukaryota; Viridiplantae; Streptophyta; Magnoliopsida; Solanales; Solanaceae. The record is from RNAcentral.